Molecule: ribosomal RNA, 254 nt
Filed under: uncultured bacterium
Lineage: Bacteria
Description: partial 16S ribosomal RNA
Rfam family: Bacterial small subunit ribosomal RNA
Source: RNAcentral
GACAGAGGUCCCGAGCGUUAGGCGGAAUCACUGGGCUUAAAGCGUGUGUAGGCGGAGUGCUAAGUACCUUGUGAAAUCCCACGGCUCAACCGUGGAACUGCUUGGUAUACUGGUUCUCUUGAGCCACCUAGGGGCAACCGGAACAAACGGUGGAGCGGUGAAAUGCGUAGAUAUCGCUUGGAACGCCGAAGGUGAAAAACAGGUCGCUGGGGAUGUGCCGACGCUGAGACACGAAAGCCAGGGGAGCAAACGGG